AUUGAACGCUGGCGGCAGGCCUAACACAUGCAAGUCGAACGGUAACAGGAAGCAGCUUGCUGCUUUGCUGACGAGUGGCGGACGGGUGAGUAAUGUCUGGGAAACUGCCCGAUGGAGGGGGAUAACUACUGGAAACGGUAGCUAAUACCGCAUAAUGUCGCAAGACCAAAGAGGGGGACCUUCGGGCCUCUUGCCAUCGGAUGUGCCCAGAUGGGAUUAGCUUGUUGGUGAGGUAACGGCUCACCAAGGCGACGAUCCCUAGCUGGUCUGAGAGGAUGACCAGCCACACUGGAACUGAGACACGGUCCAGACUCCUACGGGAGGCAGCAGUGGGGAAUAUUGCACAAUGGGCGCAAGCCUGAUGCAGCCAUGCCGCGUGUAUGAAGAAGGCCUUCGGGUUGUAAAGUACUUUCAGCGGGGAGGAAGGGGGUAAGGUUAAUAACCUUAGCCAUUGACGUUACCCGCAGAAGAAGCACCGGCUAACUCCGUGCCAGCAGCCGCGGUAAUACGGAGGGUGCAAGCGUUAAUCGGAAUUACUGGGCGUAAAGCGCACGCAGGCGGUCUGUCAAGUCGGAUGUGAAAUCCCCGGGCUCAACCUGGGAACUGCAUUCGAAACUGGCAGGCUUGAGUCUCGUAGAGGGGGGUAGAAUUCCAGGUGUAGCGGUGAAAUGCGUAGAGAUCUGGAGGAAUACCGGUGGCGAAGGCGGCCCCCUGGACGAAGACUGACGCUCAGGUGCGAAAGCGUGGGGAGCAAACAGGAUUAGAUACCCUGGUAGUCCACGCCGUAAACGAUGUCUAUUUGGAGGUUGUGCCCUUGAGGCGUGGCUUCCGGAGCUAACGCGUUAAAUAGACCGCCUGGGGAGUACGGCCGCAAGGUUAAAACUCAAAUGAAUUGACGGGGGCCCGCACAAGCGGUGGAGCAUGUGGUUUAAUUCGAUGCAACGCGAAGAACCUUACCUGGUCUUGACAUCCACAGAAUUUCUCAGAGAUGAGGAAGUGCCUUCGGGAACUGUGAGACAGGUGCUGCAUGGCUGUCGUCAGCUCGUGUUGUGAAAUGUUGGGUUAAGUCCCGCAACGAGCGCAACCCUUAUCCUUUGUUGCCAGCGAUUCGGUCGGGAACUCAAAGGAGACUGCCAGUGAUAAGCUGGAGGAAGGUGGGGAUGACGUCAAGUCAUCAUGGCCCUUACGACCAGGGCUACACACGUGCUACAAUGGCAUAUACAAAGAGAAGCGACCUCGCGAGAGCAAGCGGACCUCAUAAAGUAUGUCGUAGUCCGGAUUGGAGUCUGCAACUCGACUCCAUGAAGUCGGAAUCGCUAGUAAUCGUGGAUCAGAAUGCCACGGUGAAUACGUUCCCGGGCCUUGUACACACCGCCCGUCACACCAUGGGAGUGGGUUGCAAAAGAAGUAGGUAGCUUAACCUUCGGGAGGGCGCUUACCACUUUGUGAUUCAUGACUGGGGUGA
Molecule: ribosomal RNA, 1465 nt
Filed under: uncultured Citrobacter sp.
Lineage: Bacteria; Pseudomonadati; Pseudomonadota; Gammaproteobacteria; Enterobacterales; Enterobacteriaceae
Description: bacterial SSU rRNA
Rfam family: Bacterial small subunit ribosomal RNA
Source: RNAcentral